CAGUACCGUGAGGGAAAGGCGAAAAGAACCCCGGCGAGGGGAGUGAAAAAGAACCUGAAACCGUGUACGUACAAGCAGUGGGAGCCCCACCACCAAAGCGUUUCGCUUUGUGUGGUGCACAAAGAAGCGUAACGACAGCACUGAAUGACGGUUAACGGAGCGCAAGCGACGUUCAACAUACAAAGUCAAGCAGUGGAGCGCUUUGGGGUGGGGUGACUGCGUACCUUUUGUAUAAUGGGUCAGCGACUUAUAUUCUGUAGCAAGGUUAACCGAAUAGGGGAGCCGGAGGGAAACCGAG
This 298-nucleotide ribosomal RNA is filed under the name Salmonella enterica subsp. enterica serovar Weltevreden. Its description in RNAcentral is "partial 23S ribosomal RNA". It matches the Rfam family "Bacterial large subunit ribosomal RNA", at positions 496 to 681 of the family's 2925-position model. Lineage: Bacteria; Pseudomonadati; Pseudomonadota; Gammaproteobacteria; Enterobacterales; Enterobacteriaceae. The record is from RNAcentral.